Molecule: ribosomal RNA, 300 nt
Filed under: uncultured delta proteobacterium
Lineage: Bacteria; Deltaproteobacteria
Description: bacterial SSU rRNA
Rfam family: Bacterial small subunit ribosomal RNA
Source: RNAcentral
GCUUGGGAACAUACCUAAAGGUGGGGGAUAACAGUUGGAAACGACUGCUAAUACCGCAUAGUCUCGCAAGAGUAAAUGAGGCCUCUCCUUGGAAGCUCCAGCCUUUUGAUUGGCCCAAGUCGCAUUAGCUAGUUGGUGAGGUAAUGGCUCACCAAGGCUACGAUGCGUAGCUGGUCUGAGGGGAUGAUCAGCCACACUGGAACUGAGACACGGUCCAGACUCCUACGGGAGGCAGCAGUGGGGAAUAUUGCACAAUGGGCGAAAGCCUGAUGCAGCAACGCCGCGUGGGUGAAGAAGGCU